AAAUAGCUUCGCAAAAUA
RNAcentral lists this unclassified non-coding RNA (18 nucleotides) under Salmonella enterica subsp. enterica serovar Typhimurium. Lineage: Bacteria; Pseudomonadati; Pseudomonadota; Gammaproteobacteria; Enterobacterales; Enterobacteriaceae. The record is from RNAcentral.